UUGAACGCUGGCGGCAUGCCUUACACAUGCAAGUCGAACGGCAGCACGGGGGCAACCCUGGUGGCGAGUGGCGAACGGGUGAGUAACAUAUCGGAACGUGCCCUGGAGUGGGGGAUAACUAGUCGAAAGAUUAGCUAAUACCGCAUACGAUCUACGGAUGAAAGUGGGGGAUCGCAAGACCUCAUGCUCGUGGAGCGGCCGAUAUCUGAUUAGCUAGUUGGUGGGGUAAAGGCCUACCAAGGCAUCGAUCAGUAGCUGGUCUGAGAGGACGACCAGCCACACUGGGACUGAGACACGGCCCAGACUCCUACGGGAGGCAGCAGUGGGGAAUUUUGGACAAUGGGCGCAAGCCUGAUCCAGCAAUGCCGCGUGAGUGAAGAAGGCCUUCGGGUUGUAAAGCUCUUUUGUCAGGGAAGAAACGGCGGGGGCUAAUAUCCCUUGCUAAUGACGGUACCUGAAGAAUAAGCACCGGCUAACUACGU
This 482-nucleotide ribosomal RNA is filed under the name uncultured bacterium. RNAcentral describes it as "bacterial SSU rRNA". It matches the Rfam family "Bacterial small subunit ribosomal RNA", at positions 30 to 506 of the family's 1533-position model. The record is from RNAcentral.